RNAcentral lists this ribosomal RNA (393 nucleotides) under uncultured bacterium. Its description in RNAcentral is "partial 16S ribosomal RNA". It matches the Rfam family "Bacterial small subunit ribosomal RNA", at positions 523 to 918 of the family's 1533-position model. The record is from RNAcentral.
AUACGGAGGAUCCGAGCGUUAUCCGGAUUUAUUGGGUUUAAAGGGAGCGUAGGCGGACGCUUAAGUCAGUUGUGAAAGUUUGCGGCUCAACCGUAAAAUUGCAGUUGAUACUGGGUGUCUUGAGUACAGUAGAGGCAGGCGGAAGUCGUGGUGUAGCGGUGGAAUGCUUAGAUAUCACGAAGAACACCGAUUGCGAAGGCAGCCUGCUGGACUGUAACUGACGCUGAUGCUCGAAAGUGUGGGUAUCAAACAGGAUUAGAUACCCUGGUAGUCCACACAGUAAACGAUGAAUACUCGCUGUUUGCGAUAUACAGUAAGCGGCCAAGCGAAAGCGUUAAGUAUUCCACCUGGGGAGUACGCCGGCAACGGUGAAACUCAAAGGAAUUGACGGGG